Molecule: long non-coding RNA, 718 nt
Organism: Odocoileus virginianus texanus
Lineage: Eukaryota; Metazoa; Chordata; Mammalia; Artiodactyla; Cervidae
Source: RefSeq, a predicted model, not a curated record
ACCCCAAAUUGGGUUUGCAUCUCUCUGGCCGAGCGAGGUGCCUUCCCCAGCCUCACCUCCAGAUGUUCCAUGGGGGUUUGAGGUGUGGAGGAGGAGUGAACGGAGCUUGGUGUCUCUCUGAUUGAGCUACCAGCAACAUUACAAGAUCGUGACUACUCUAAAAGCCUCAACCAUCACUGUGAGGUAAAGUUACGUUUUCUUCCAGUAUGGACAUGGGCAGAAGAACCGUGGAUGGAGGGAGGCCAACAUACUCCAAUCUCAGCUGUCAUUUUGAAUUUGAACUCCUCUGUGCCAGAAAUCGGAUUUAUUGCUGGUGAGAAUGGUGACUCAUGUUCUUUUGACGCCAACCAACUAAUUUAUCCUGCUGUGGUUUGAUGGUGAAAUCGAGGGUCAAAAAGAGAAAGUGACUUGCAGAAGGUCGCAGAGGGGUUAGAACCCAGAACUUUUGAAUCGCAGUCCAGGAUUCUAACAAUAGAACAAAAGAUUAACACUAGCCCACAACCACAGUGCUCUCAUAAAAUGUAAUGACAUGAUACAAUAAUAUCUGACUUGAAUGGUUGCUAUGGGGGUAAAUGAGAUAACAAAUGUGAAAUAUUCAUGUAAAAUCUUAGAGUACUACCUAGGUGGUUGAUAAAGAGUGCAGAACAUCUAUACAAGUCAAUGGAGAAAUGAGGAUUAUUUUCUUCCUGCAAAUAAAACAGAAGUAGUCCCAAGGUCA